This 464-nucleotide ribosomal RNA is filed under the name uncultured bacterium. RNAcentral's name for it is "partial 16S ribosomal RNA". It matches the Rfam family "Bacterial small subunit ribosomal RNA", at positions 338 to 795 of the family's 1533-position model. The record is from RNAcentral.
ACUACGGGUGGCAGCAGUGGGGAAUCUUCCGCAAUGGGCGAAAGCCUGACGGAGCAACGCCGCGUGAUCGAAUGAAGGCCUUCGGGUUGUAAAGAUCUGUUGACAGGGACGAAUAAGCAAUGCAAAUAGUUUUGUGUAUGACGGUACCUGUUUAGAAAGCUCCGGCUAACUACGUGCCAGCAGCCGCGGUAAUACGUAGGGAGCAAGCGUUGUCCGGAAUUACUGGGAGUAAAGGGCGCGUAGGUGGGCGCUUAAGUCAGGUGUGAAAACUCCGGGCUCAACCUGGAGACUGCACUUGAAACUGGGUGUCUUGAGGGCAGGAGAGGAAAGUGGAAUUCCUAGUGUAGCGGUGAAAUGCGUAGAUAUUAGGAGGAACACCAGUGGCGAAGGCGACUUUCUGGACUGUACCUGACGCUGAGGCGCGAAAGCGUGGGUAGCGAACGGGAUUAGAUACCCGUGUAGUC